This 195-nucleotide ribosomal RNA is filed under the name uncultured bacterium. Its description in RNAcentral is "partial 16S ribosomal RNA". It matches the Rfam family "Bacterial small subunit ribosomal RNA", at positions 1307 to 1500 of the family's 1533-position model. The record is from RNAcentral.
GCAACUCGCCUACAUGAAGUCGGAGUUGCUAGUAAUCGCGGAUCAGAAUGCCGCGGUGAAUGCGUUCCCGGGGUCUUGUACACACCGCCCGUCACACCAUGGGAGUCGGAUAUGCCCGAAGCCGGUGACCUAACCGCAAGGAAGGAGCCGUCGAAGGUGGAGCCGAUGACUGGGGUGAAGUCGUAACAAGGUAGC